AGGGCAGUUAUGGGGUGCACAGCAGUUGUGGGGUGCACAGCAGUUGUGGGGUGCACAGCAGUUAUGGGGUGCAGAAGGUGUGGGUGCUGUGCAGGUGUGGGUGCAGGGCAGUUAUGGGGUGCAGAAGGUGUGGGUGCUGUGCAGGUGUGGUGCUGCACAGGUAUAGGGCGCAGUGCAGGUGUGGAGGGUGGGUUACACCACACGCCCGUGUGCCCCCCCGGGUUCCGGGGGGUCCAGCUGCCCAUCGAGCCUCGAGGGGACGCCGCAGGGGUGACCCGGGCCGGGCACACGCGGUGACACCUUCCCGCAGCUCCCGCCUGGCCCCCGGCCCGCAGCUUGGCGCCCGUCCCGAAUCCCCUAAUCCCGGCUCGCCCGCGUUAAUGAAUCUCUCUGUGGUGCCCUCUAAUCCCCCUCCCGCCGCUACCGGGACGCGGGGGCUCGGGGCAGAGCCUCGGGCUCCAGGACGGGUGUCCUUGGGGAGCGGGAACCGGGGGCGGGCGGGGGCUCUGCCCGCAUCUCCGGGGCUCUGCGGGGCCCCCGUGUCCCGGGGCUUUGCCCUCAGCCCCGGGCGGGCAGCGGGGCUCUGCCGUGACCCGGUGCUCCCUCUGCCUCGGCCGGCGGCCCUGCCGAUGGACUCAAACUGGAUGGGAGAGCACUGGCAUAGGAACGGGACAAACGCUGGAAUUCAUUCCCAAAAAUUCUCUUUUUUUGCUCCCAGCCCCGCGCCCCCUUAAUCAGGCUGCGGUGUAAUCUGAAAUAAUCAAAUUAGAGAGAAACUGUUAAUCAGCGUUGA
This is a long non-coding RNA of Motacilla alba alba, 793 nucleotides long. RefSeq lists it as uncharacterized. The transcript has 2 exons. The record is from RefSeq and is a predicted model, not a curated record. Lineage: Eukaryota; Metazoa; Chordata; Aves; Passeriformes; Motacillidae.